UUCCUGGUAGCCUAGUGACUAAGACUCUGUACUCCCAGUGUAGGGGGCCCAGGUUCAAUCCCUGGUCAGGGAA
Molecule: transfer RNA, 73 nt
Filed under: Bos indicus (zebu cattle)
Lineage: Eukaryota; Metazoa; Chordata; Mammalia; Artiodactyla; Bovidae
Also listed under: 1 other name
Rfam family: tRNA
About the family: Transfer RNA (tRNA) molecules are approximately 80 nucleotides in length. Their secondary structure includes four short double-helical elements and three loops (D, anti-codon, and T loops).
Source: Rfam by way of RNAcentral